GAUGAAGAACGUAUCGAAAUGCGAUAAGUAAUGUGAAUUGCAGAAUUCAGUGAAUCAUCGAAUCUUUGAACGCACCUUGCGCCUUUUGGUAUUCCGAAAGGCAUGCCUGUUUGAGUGUCAUGAAAUCUCAAUCCUCCUAGGUUUUUGACCUGGUUGGACUUGGACAUGGGCGUCUGCCAGCAAUGGCUCGCCUUAAAUGACUUAGUGGAACAUCCCACAUCAGUGUUAGACGUAAUAAGUUUCGUCUCUCCUUGUGGUGAUGACUGCUCAUAAUCUGCCAUCGCGCACUUUUGACUUUGACCUCAAAUCAGGUAGGGCUACCCGCUGAACUUAAGCAUAUCAAUAAGCGGAGGA
RNAcentral lists this unclassified non-coding RNA (354 nucleotides) under soil metagenome. RNAcentral describes it as "partial contains 5.8S ribosomal RNA, internal transcribed spacer 2, and large subunit ribosomal RNA". The stretch from base 1 to 120 matches the Rfam family "5.8S ribosomal RNA", at positions 35 to 154 of the family's 154-position model. The record is from RNAcentral.